Molecule: ribosomal RNA, 253 nt
Filed under: uncultured bacterium
Lineage: Bacteria
Description: partial 16S ribosomal RNA
Rfam family: Bacterial small subunit ribosomal RNA
Source: RNAcentral
UACGUAGGCAGCAAGCGUUGUUCGGAGUUACUGGGCGUAAAGGGCGUGCAGGCGGUCUGAUAAGUUCGGCGUGAAAUAUUCCGGCUUAACCGGGAUAGGUCGUCGGAGACUGUCGGACUAGAGGGUGAUAGAGGCGUGUGGAAUUCCGGGUGUAGUGGUGAAAUGCGUAGAGAUCCGGAGGAACACCAGUGGCGAAGGCGACACGCUGGGUCACACCUGACGCUAAAGCGCGACAGCAUGGGGAGCGAACGGG